This 1671-nucleotide long non-coding RNA is filed under the name Homo sapiens (human). Its description in RNAcentral is "PREDICTED lncRNA (TCONS_00191771)". Lineage: Eukaryota; Metazoa; Chordata; Mammalia; Primates; Hominidae. The record is from RNAcentral.
GAAGCCAGGCCAAGAAGAAUCCCAGGACUGGAAGGCCUUGUGGGACGUCCCAGGUUUGUCUUGUGUCAAUAGCACUGAUACUCAAUCUCCUACUCCCAUCUGUGAGCAUGCAGACCCUACUUGCCUUCCCACAGCCUCCCUUUUCAUAUUUUUCAUGUUUCUUUAGCUCUGUCUUCAAGCCUUGUUGCUCCCGCAAAAAAACCUGCCUCUUCCUCCAGUCCUCCCAAGCAGGGGGAACAGUCCUGACACCUUUCCAAGCCCUGGUCCAUGGACAUUGUGCCCCCUUCUCCCUGCCCAUGGUGACCUGCUCCAAAACCCUCAAGGAGAAGGGAGUGUAUGUCAUUUCCUCCCUGUAAAGUAAAGAUAAUUUUGCAGGGGACUGUGUGGAUGAAAUGACAUGAUGCAUGGAAAUCCCUUAGCGUGUGCCUGGCAUGUAAACUGCAGGUGUCAUCAUUAUUACUGAGGAAUACUGAGUCCCGAACAUGGCUGUCUCAUUGGUGGACUGGGGUCUCCCCCAGGGCAUUCAUCUACUAUGUGUUUAUUGCACCCUUUUUCCAUGUGAGGCACAUGCCAGGGACUGGGCACAUGGUAUGAACAAGACACAGGUCAUCGGUGUCCUCUUGAGCUCCCUGGCUUGGCAGCAGAUGCAUACCUGGGAAGGAUGCUAGGUCAUCCGGGAACUCUACCUCCUUCAAAUCCCUAAGGACUGUGCUCCCAAUCCGCUUACGCUCAAGGAAGAACUGCCUGGAAGCCCUCCCUGGUACCAUACCCCAGCCGAUGAGUAUGUACCCCCAGAAGUACUUCCGCUCAGAGAAGAAGGAGACGGCAAGCAGGGUGUACAGGAAGGCCCAGAACCAGCCUGCUGUCAGGAUCAGAACAAAAGAGGAGGACUGCAUAUGUCCCUUCCCGUGGAUAUAAUUCUUCCCAGGCCUGUUGUGUGAGUUGGUGAUGCCAUCAUUCCUGCCUCACACUUGCAAACUUCCCUCUUUGGAAUUUCAGAGACCAGGCCCACAGAGUAUGGCUGUGCAAGUUGUUCACUCUACAAGGGCACCUGGCCGGGCUCUCUGGUGGAGCCUCUGUCUCACAGGUCACCUGCAGGCCAACACUCCCAGAAGCAGCUAGCACCAUGGUUGACCUCGUCCAGGUCCAGGGAAGGCCUCCCUCUCCAGGACUCCUUUAGAUUUCCCCAGCAUCCAGACCUCACCUGCCUAAGUGCUGUUGCCCUGGAAGCCACAGUGAGCACGAGCUCCAUCUUGCACCUUUACCAGCCAAUGGGGGUAAAGACAUUAGCUGAAAUACUUCUAAGGGGCCAGGCGUGGUGACUCAUGCUUGUAAUUCCAAGCACUUUGGGAGGCUGAGGCAGGUGGAUCACCUGAAGCCAGGAGUUCAAGAGCAGCCUGGCCAACAUGGCGAAACCCUGUCUCUACUAAAAAUACAAAAUUUAGCCAGGCAUGGUGGCGGGAGCCUGUAAUCUCAGCUCCUAGGGAGGCUGAGCCAGAAGAAUCGCUUAAACCUGGAAGCUGGAGGUUGCAGUGAGCCAAGAUCACACCACCACACUCCAGCCUGGGUGACAGAGCAAGACUCCAUCUCAAAAAGAAAAAAAAGAAAAAAAGGAAAUACUUCUAAGUUAUGUGAGAGAGUACAUACUGACAUUUUCAAUGGGUACAAUAA